Alosa alosa (allis shad) is the source of this 435-nucleotide long non-coding RNA. RefSeq lists it as uncharacterized. The record is from RefSeq and is a predicted model, not a curated record. The transcript is spliced from 3 exons. NCBI's taxonomy places the organism in Eukaryota, Metazoa, Chordata, Actinopteri, Clupeiformes, Clupeidae.
GAAAAAUUCUGGCGGCCAUCUUUUGUUAAUGCAGUCGGCCGUUUGACAGAUUUGACAGACUAAUAUUUGUAUUCUCAGAAAGAAUGGAGAGCCAUGAUAGCUAUGAGUGUGAGGUGUGCAACAAGAGGUUUACUCUGAAGUCCAACCUUAAACGCCACAUGAAGCUUCACGACGCCAGGAUGGAGUCCCUUCGCGUCGACGGAGGUCGUGGUCGCCAGACGAGCUGCGAGGAUUCAGCGAAUGAAUCGGCAGGCGGAGCUGCUCUUUGGUAAGGAGCACGUCUUUGAACCUAACUUCGCUGCUCCUCUGCCAUACCCUGACGACUACAACCAUCCAGACGAGGAGGAGCUGCUUGGCGUGGAGUAUGGCAUGUGCCAGUCCACUGCAUUCACUGCAAGGCACUACUACGCGCAGAAAGCUGAGGAGGAGGAGGAG